AUUUGUGAACAAAAGGUCGUACAGAAGUUGUACUAAUCCACCGAAAGAUUUGCUACUUGCAAGAAAAUAAAUAUGAAAUCUAUCUUGGAGAUUCGACAUAUGUUCCAUUGAUUACAUUCAAUCAUGUAUGUACUGAAGAAACAAAAUGCAACUCCACCAUUUAGUAGUUCAUGGCUGAAUAGCUGAACUUCACAGAAUGACAAUUUUUGAACCUAGCCAAGGAAUAACUUUUCUCAAAUUCAUGUUUGAAAUUGUAGAAGCAACAACACACUUCCCCCCCCCCCUCGCCGACUCCCAUCCCAAUCUUCCUCAAAAGAAGGAUAGAUAGAGAGAAAUUGUUCUCUUUUUCAGCUAAAAAUUUAAACAGAACAAAAAAUCAGUUAGUUUGGCUCACAGCCUCCUUUAUAUAUUUUUCGAACUGAUGUUUUUUCUCAUUUGAACUAAUGUAUCUUUUGUAGUUGAAAUGUUGCAAAAUAUGUAGUUGCCCUGUUUUCUGUAAUUGAAGGGAAAAACCACAUAAGAAAAUACAACCAUGCUUUUUAACCUCCUUUAGUUCUUUUUUAGGGAAUUCAAUUCAACAAAACAUAUGCAAACAUCUCGGCUUCAAACUUCUGUAUUUUUUUUCUUUGAGCUUACUUCUCUCGAGAUUUUGAACUGAUUUGUGUUACAAGCACACGAACAACUCUGAAUGAGCUGAUGUUAGUACAUGUAAAAAAGAUGACCAUGUUCAUGUAUAUUAAUCGGAGAAGUUAAAAAAGGAACUUCAUCUUCACCAUACUGACUAGACCAAUAUUGAAAAUCUGAAGUACGAGAGGAGGCCAGCUUAAGGAAUUUAGUAAUUUAUAGUAAUUGAACUGCUGGUCCUUUUUGUGCACACUGAAGAACUACAACAGAAAUAUACCAGAGAAAAUGGAGAUGAGUGGCGGUGUCGGUGUAGCACGGCGUCCUCGCCGGAGAAGCAGCACAACAGUACCCCAACACG
This 982-nucleotide long non-coding RNA is filed under the name Triticum aestivum (bread wheat). RNAcentral describes it as "long non-coding RNA (TAES_LNC009657)". Lineage: Eukaryota; Viridiplantae; Streptophyta; Magnoliopsida; Poales; Poaceae. The record is from RNAcentral.